AUUUACUUCUCAUAUUUGGUCAGGUGCCUGUAAAAGAAGCUUUUCUGGCCAGGCCAGUACUCAUCUGAUGUUAUAUCCGAUCUGGGUCGCCGUGUCACUUCUGCCCCGCUCUCCGCAUGACUCUUCACAAGGGGGGCGGUCUCUGCCGCGAUCAUGUGAUCGUGGUACAGGAUAAGCAUAGUGAGGCCCCCUCACGGAUCAUGGCCGGUAUUACUCUAUGUAUUCUACAGGGAUAUUUAUUGAGUAAACAGAGCAACUGUUGUCUAAUAGGUCCUUUCCAAACAGAAUAUGGUGCGGGAAUAUGGGUCUCCUCACAAGAUUUCUGACAGAGAAGUGAAAAGCAUAAUCAGAAGAGUUGUCCAAGAGCCAAGGACCACGUGUGGAGAGCUUCAAAAAGACCUGGAAUUAGCAGCGCCACUACAGGACAGAAAGAAGUAUUACACAAUGGGCUGUCCAUGUAAUCACUGGAUCGGAGAAAAUCCGUUCAACACCUAGCCUGCGUGUAGAACAUUUCAUUGAGAAGCAUUCAGAGGCAGCAAUGGAAAUGCACAGAUCUGUUAUUGAUGAACGCAUCCUGCAAGGCGGAGGCUGAGGCAUUUCCGGAGUUCUCUUCGUAGUUAUCCCCGUUGGGAUUUUCCUGUUCGGUCCGCUGGGUCCGGUUCUUCGGAGUUCGAUGGAGCUAGUUCGAGCUUGGGUCCAGUUCAGAAUCCCUGUUGCGACUGCAGAUUCGCAGCAAGAAAGAGGAGGAGAUUAAGGAGGCAGCCCAUUAUAUACCAGCUGUCCUGUUCCAGGAUUGACCGAACCAUCCAGAGGGCUGCUGGGAGUUGUAGUUUUAAGCUCUAAAGUUUUUUUCUAGUUGAAUUCACUAAAGUAAAGUUGAAUUUCUGCUAUGGGC
This is a long non-coding RNA of Hyla sarda, 895 nucleotides long. RefSeq lists it as uncharacterized. NCBI's taxonomy places the organism in Eukaryota, Metazoa, Chordata, Amphibia, Anura, Hylidae. The transcript has 7 exons. The record is from RefSeq and is a predicted model, not a curated record.